GAGUUUGAUCUUGGCUCAGAUUGAACGCUGGCGGCAUGCCUUACACAUGCAAGUCGAACGGCAGCGCGGGGCAACCUGGCGGCGAGUGGCGAACGGGUGAGUAAUAUAUCGGAACGUACCCUGGAGUGGGGGAUAACGUAGCGAAAGUUACGCUAAUACCGCAUACGAUCUAAGGAUGAAAGUGGGGGACGCGCAAGCACCUCAUGCUCCUGGAGCGGCCGAUAUCUGAUUAGCUAGUUGGUGGGUAAAGGCCUACCAAGGCAUCGAUCAGUAGCUGGUCUGAGAGGACGACCAGCCACACUGGAACUGAGACACGGUCCAGACUCCUACGGGAGGCAGCAGUGGGGAAUUUUGGACAAUGGGCGAAAGCCUGAUCCAGCAAUGCCGCGUGAGUGAAGAAGGCC
RNAcentral lists this ribosomal RNA (404 nucleotides) under uncultured bacterium. Its description in RNAcentral is "bacterial SSU rRNA". It matches the Rfam family "Bacterial small subunit ribosomal RNA", at positions 9 to 416 of the family's 1533-position model. The record is from RNAcentral.